GAGAGAGGCCUGAUGACAGUAGAGACUGCUAAUCCCCUGCCCCCAUGGUUAAAUUCCCUGGCUCACUCG
Molecule: transfer RNA, 69 nt
Filed under: Umbra pygmaea (eastern mudminnow)
Lineage: Eukaryota; Metazoa; Chordata; Actinopteri; Esociformes; Umbridae
Description: tRNA-Ser
Source: RNAcentral